Long non-coding RNA from Leopardus geoffroyi (Geoffroy's cat), 116 nucleotides. RefSeq lists it as uncharacterized. The record is from RefSeq and is a predicted model, not a curated record. NCBI's taxonomy places the organism in Eukaryota, Metazoa, Chordata, Mammalia, Carnivora, Felidae. The transcript has 4 exons.
GGGAGGGACGCAAAUGGAGCGGUGAGGGAGGAAGGGGACACCCACCUAGCCAGCCAGAUCAGCCGAAUCAACCCUGGCGAUCAAUGGGAUGGGAAGGGCACAAGUCUGAAUUCCAG